UCUAGUCGUCUGCGAACAGAAGCAAAUACGAGGAUCGUUUGACCCGUGACUGUGUAAACUAGUGAGACUUACACGGUGCAUAACAUGUAGACAGUGUGUAACAGAGCAUGUAUGCAAAUGAGCUCGAGAAAGUUUGGCAAGUAAACAAACAGCCGCCCACCGCCGACAGGCAAAUCCUUAACUAAUUAAGUUUAGCAAAUGCCUCCAGUUAUUUCUUGUGAUCAUCGUAAAACUGAGGAGAAGGAACAACGUGAAAAUCCUUUGAUUUUUUCAAAGGCGUUCGUCGUAUUUCUCUUUAGUGUUUGGUUCAAUUUGUGCAGUGCUGCUGUGAUGAUACACCAAUCAAAUAUCGUACUCGUCGUGUCGUUGCUGAAAGAUCCACAAGAAAAAGGGAGCGCAUUACGGCGGAAAAAGAAAAAAAAUCAGACACUGAUAUAACGGGACGCGGUGUUGAGACAGUGCCAGAUCUAAAUCAAUAUGCAGAAACGGGAGGCGGGGACACAUAAAGAAGAGGGCGAAAAAAAUAUGUCACAAAACUUCACAAAGAUGGAAAUGCGAUACAAAAGAAAAGUGUAGAGUGGGCAACAGAAAAAAAGAACAAAACAAAAGAAAAUAAACUCGGUGAAUAAUCGAUACAUCCACCCUUGGGUUGUUCCCUUUGAAACUAGCAUGCUCGUAUGCAUUAAACUGCCUCCAUUGAGUUAAAAGGGGAAAAAAAAUUCGGACGUAAAAAAUGGAAAUAAGAAAACGAACGACGUUCAUCUUACCCUUUUCUGCGUCAUUAAGGUUUUUCCUUGGUUAGACCAACGUCAGAAAAGAAAAUAAAAAAAGGGUAAAUGGAGGAAGUUGGAUUCGGAUGAAGCAAUUUUUCUUUUUUUCCUUAUAUAAAUAUAGUCUACUGCGUACUAUACAGAAGAGAGACAUUUGAUUGACUGUACCAACGUUACGCUUAAUCAAAUAGGUAACGAGCUGAAUUGCGUUGGAAAUGUACAGAAAACCGGUCGACAAUUGCGAAAUCAACGUUUACGACGUUAUUUGAUUUCAAACCGCAAUAAAAUAUAACCAAGUGAUUUAUGCAGCAGGAGCUGACAGUUGAAUAAACUGCGUAAGACGCGUCCUUUCAGUAUCAGCUCUGCAAAUCAAUAGACGAGAGAGAGAGACAUGUCCAAAUAUAUAAAUAGGAGAACGACAUUUUCAAAUUCAAUUUGUCAUCGUCACGCUCGGCUAAGCCGACAAAUGCAGACCACAAGUUUCUUCGUCAACAUCCGCACAUUUACAAGACAAAUUCAGAAAUCUUCGCAAUUCUGAUUCACCUUUUAUCGUUUUUUUUUUCUUUUUCUUUCUGACCGUCACAUCAUAUCCGCUCCUAUCACGUAUACAAUCUCCGGUCUUCCUUUCUCGUUUAGGUAAUCCAUGAGAUCGUAUUUAUUUUUAUUUUAUUUUUAUUUUUUAUUUUUUACCCUAUCUGACAUGGUCAGUAGCCAAAAAAAUAGGCCCAGCCAUAUUGAAUUCGUCUAUUGGCUAGUAUAUAUACGUAUACGGCUCUAUUCGCGUAGUAUACAGUCCAGGGCGUUCACGGGGAAACUAACGCGGGCAAAUCGAGCGGACACGAACCAUCCAACGUAAUUUUGCUCAAAGAAAAUCGUAUAGACCCAUCAUAUGAUUAAGUACGUGCAACAUACGGAGACCAUAAGCAACUGCUGUUUCUCUACUUUUUGUCGAUGGCUGCGAAGAAGGGCCAUCUUCAACUUUUUGCGCGGCCAUCGUUAUACUUUAUUUAUUUAUUUAUUUUUUUUUAUCGACGGUGAUAAACGCUAUAGAGAGUUAUCUAGUAUAUAGCCCCGCCAGACGGCGUGUGCUGAGGAAAAGUUUAUUGUUGGAAACGAGCAGGUCGAUCAUCGAGUUGACGGCGCCAGGAUGUAUAUAAGAUGGAAUGUUUAUAAUGCAGCACGACUGAAGCUUUAGUAUAGCACCGGUGCUCAUGUAUAGACGGCAGAGAAAUAAUGUUGAUGACGAUGUUUGCUUUUCUCUCUCUCUUUUGUUUAAGUCUAUCCUACAACAUUGACGCAAUUUUCUAUAAAGUCUAACCUCUUGGGUAGGGAAAGAGAGGCGAAAUCCAAGACCGCACGAGCCAUGAUUAAGUCCUGUGUCGUAAUAACCUCUGUAGAAUCUCUUAGGAAUCGCAAAUAAAAAAGAAAAGACGUAAGAAGAAAAAAAAUGAAGCAGACAGAGGGAAAGAAAACUAAUCUAAUUCUUUCCGUUCCUCUUUGUCAUCUACUUAGUCUUCCUUCUCUGUAUAUAUGCUGAAGCCGCUCGUUGAAACCAAUAAACAAGUUCACCAGCUUUGCUAUUACAUAUUGGUAUACCCCAUCAAUAGAAGAACUUUUAAAAGCAAUUUUUUCUUAUUACGUAUAUACUCAAGGAUCUCGUCACACCGUCAUUGACGUACGUAUAGUAUAGAAAAUCUAAGAAAGCGUAUGUCGUUCACAAUCCAGGUAUGCAGGGGAGUUUUGAUGAUCCGCCCACCUUUAAAAAAAUAAAAUAAUUCGAUCGAAUACGAUGACGCCAAUGGCAAAAUUUAAGCUGAUCGAUAACUCCUGGCCAGAUUUUACGCCUUUCUUUUGUGGCUCGUUUUUGGUUGAAUUGAUAAAAGCCAAACGUAUUUAUACCUCUGUUAAAGUAAUUCGUGAAAAAGAAUAAACUCUUUCUUAUUUUCCUUGUUCACUCAAAUGAUCAAUCGUUUGACGUAACGCCGAUGUGAAUUCUAAUGAAAAUUCAAAUCCAAGAUUCAACAUUUUCCAGCCAACGUGAUGGGUAUACAUACAGACAAUAACAAUCACGUCGAGUAUAUACACGGACGUAUGUGACAGAGUCAGACGCAUUGCGUGUGUGACUGAGAAUUUAAAAAAAAUCCGUGAAUCCUGAAAUCGAAAAAAAAAGGAAACAGGUAUGAAUACUAUACACACGAACAUAACGAUAGUAUGCUAACAGAAGCCCAUCCACUGAAUCUGUAAGAUUUAAAAAACAUAUACUUUUUCGCACAUGUACUGAUGUGCGUAUAUAAGACAACACGUAAGUGAAUCAUAUUUAAGGAGCUUUGGUGAGAGGACGUUGAAAGGAUCUUGAAAAAAAAAGCACAUAACAGACGAGAGUGAGAAGUUUUUCGCUAAAACUUAUUCCAAAGUCAUUCAGUCCAAUCUUUGAAGAGAGACAGUCGCUAUGCUUCUUGCCGUGUCUAUGGCAUCGUACGGCUUUUUCUUUUUUCUGGUCAAGAUUGGGUGCAUGCUUACGUAUGGGUUUGUUUACGAUAUGGCACGCGCAUAAGGUUAUAUUGUUUGCUGAUUUACUUCGUGACAGGAAGGGCUGCGUGUAUAAACAGAGAUCUAACACUUGCAUAAUAGUCGGAAGGUUGUUGACGCGAUUGUGUCGUGAUUGCGUGAAAUGUCGUGCGAACUUGGCACGCGUUCAGCCAUCAGAUGUGCGUGAUUUUCGUGUUAAAAACAAAGAUUUAAUUCGUUUCUAAAAUCGAUAUUGAGGUUUAAUAUUCAUCAUUUUCGAAUAGAUAUUUGAAGUCAUGCGAUGAGGUGUAUAUUCGUUUGUUCAGAACACUUUUAGCACGAGGAAAAAGAAUAAAAACUUAAGGAUUUUUUAAAGAAAGCUUCUGACGUUGUCUAAUCAGCGACUGAGGUUUAGACAACAACUAUUGACUACGGCAACUGUCCCAUUGUUUCACGCUUUCUCAUCAGGGAUGUUGCUUCUAGUGCUUAUGUUAUCGGACGAUAUUCACGCAAGUUGGCUAUAUACGACAUUGCAAGCUGUGACUGCUUUGGAUUGUCCGUCUCCUGGUGAGCACUAAACCACAUCUAGCCGUACAUGAAGGACGUUUGCUAAAAGCAUGCCUGCCGCAGAUAGCAAACGACAUUCUAGUAAAUGGAAGUAGUUCAGUCGUUGUAUUUGUGUGAUCUAAACGGAAAAAUUUGCGACCAAGAAAAGUGGUUCCUUUACAAUUGAUUUGGUGCAUUCCGACAGGCAACGUGAACAUUGCAAUAGCCCAAUAUUGCUCAAAGAAGAUUUAUCGAUCAACGACCGCCAAAGGCGUCAACGUGAAAACGGAAAGUACUUGGGUCUUCGGGAUUUGUUAUCUUGUUAUUCACGGCAGAGCAUUGAAUAUCCAUCCGCGAAGAUUCAACAGUUUACUGGCAAAUUGGCAUUGCAAAAAAUCGUCAAAUGUUACAGUAUUUCAGUGCACGAAAUUGUAGUAGUGGGCGAUGUUACUGUGUCACAUGAUUUUAAUUAGAUAGACUAUUCAUGCUUGGCAAACAUAGCUCAAGUUUGCGAUUGCCUAUUUGUUUCUUCAAUAAGCUUUCUUGUUUGCUUGUUUUUAUUUAUGCAAGUAGUUACAUUAAAAACCUUACUUUUUGGCGUUAUAGUGAUGCCUUUUUGCAACAUCAACAAGCAAACUACAACGUUUAACAAUAAAGGUAACUAAAUGCGUUAAAAUAAACUUAGCAAAUUUUUUUUGAUUUGUUAAAUGUCGGUUGAUGGCUGUUUGCUUAAAUUUUACUCGUUAGAUGACUCUUUUUAAAAGUUUUAAUUUUUACUCACUAGAUGACUUUAGCUAUUUUCGAGAAAUUAAAUCUGGCAAUGUUUUGGUCUUCCGGAAGUUAACCAAAUAACAAUUUGAAGGCUUGCCAGUUGCAACUUGCAAGCAUGGAUCGGGAAGUUAGUAACACAAGCCGUUUCUCUUAGAAUUCUGGAACUUUCCUUCAUUCCCUGCAUGAUGGGCAUAUUCAAAUAUCCAAUGUCAUCUGGCCAUCAGAGAUCUAUUAUUUUUUGUGAAUGAGUUGGGUGAAAUAGACAUACCUAAAUUUUCUGCUUCUCCGUUUUGCAACUUCAUGCGAUGUAGCAGUUAUGCAAGCAUUAAUUUUCAUUUCAAUGAAUAAAGAAUGUUGGCUGUGAUCUGCAAAAAGCCAAUUGAGCUUUUUCUAUUAUUAUUUGAAGAGUUGAAUGGUAGUUUUUGCUGUUACAUUUAUUCUGUUAAAGUAACAAAAGUGACUAGCUCAGUUUGAAGAAAAUUUACUUUGAUGUUAGCAUGUUGCAGACGGGACAGCCAUGAAGAUGAACAAAAUCUAUAUUUUUCCUUCAAGAGCAUUAUUGAGUUGGAUAAGAAAGUAGUUAGAUAAGGUGAUAUUUUAUCAUUAAUGAACAGCUGUGUCAAGCAACAAUUGAUUGGGGCGGGUAAGCCGAAAACUAAAUUGACAAUGAUGAUUCCCAAUUAACAACAGUUGUCAAAUUUUUCAUUUCUUUUAUGAGUGGUAGCUAUAUGUAUUACCAUUGUUCUGCUCCACUUCGCUAUCUGGUAGUUUUUUUUAGAUGUUAACAUUUCAGGUUUUUUAACAAUUCGGGAUUUUACAUAUGAUGCGUUUCAGCUUAACUUUAGCCCAAGCAUGUGAUGAGUAAGGAUGGCAGAGCAUGCUAACAAUACAUGCUGCACCUGGCAUGUCCCUGGAUUACACUUCAGUUUGUUAAAAAUUGGUUGUGGUACAACAUAAGGUUGUAAGGAAUGGAUAAUGAAAGCUAUUGUUGAUCUUUGCAACUGUUUUUUAUCAUUUGGAUAGUCAACUCUCAAUGGGAAUACUGCUUCACAAAUUGAUGAGUUUGACUAAAUCAAAGGUGAGGAUCGAAUAUCGCUGCCCUUUACUUAAUCGAUAGGGAUUAACCUUCUUAUCAACUGGUUGAAGAAUUAGGACAAAAGAUGUUAACGUUUUCGUCUCUGCCGAUGAAAACCGUGUGACCAGAUCCUUGCCUUGAACGAAAGUUACUGACAAAACCAGGAAAAGUCGGCCCUUUCUUCAAAUUAACAAAGUGAAAAAAGACUAAAACUCUUGGUUCAAUUAUUUGGACACCUAGUAGGUAUUUCAACUUCAAAGUAGUUACCCUUUUGUAGUCUUUAGGCCACAUCACCUGUGCUGGCUUGGUUUUAGUUAACCUUAUUCUAAAUUUUAUGACUUGUUUUCCAAUGCAUGUUGAAAUUGUGUGCCGUAUUAGAUGUUCCUAGAUGUAGUGAAAUAAUCUUGUCUUGAUAAUCAAAAUCGUUGAACAGAAAGAAUAAGCUGUUGGCAGAAGGAAUGGCUAGAAGAUUAAAAUGUCCCCUUAAUGAAAAGUUACUCGAGAAUCUAAACGUCUUAUUGGAUGUGUUGGUACAAGUCUGAAUAUUGUUGGACUGCCAACUGUUGGCAAGUCUACCUUUUGCAAUCUGCUAACAAAAAGUGCAGCACAACUUUUCACCAUUGAUCUGAAUGAAAAUAAGUGUUCUUUUAGUGAUUAUGAACAAAACUAUUGGUUACUGUUGCAUUAAACUUUUGGUCUGGUGUUCAAAUAAGGUAGCAGUUCCUGAUGGAAGGUUUGAUUGGUUGCUUCAGCAAUAAGAAACCCUCAAGAUUUAUCACCAUCCCAAAUUCACUAUUUACUGGAUCAGAAGCUCAUACAGCUGGCAGCAACAGAAACCCUGUUCAUACUAAAAAGCAAUCUUUCUCAAGUGUUAUAUUUACAAAACAUGCAUGUCAGUGGAUGUAAUGAAUAUUUGAUAAACAUACCAUAAAUUUCA
Molecule: long non-coding RNA, 6607 nt
Filed under: Daphnia magna
Lineage: Eukaryota; Metazoa; Arthropoda; Branchiopoda; Diplostraca; Daphniidae
Description: uncharacterized LOC116916339, transcript variant X6
Source: RNAcentral